GUGCUCACUUAAGCAGCACGUAUACUAGCACUGGAACAAUACCAAGAAGACUGGCAUGGCCCCUGUGCAAGGAUGACAUGCAAUUUGUGAAGUGUUUAAUAUUUUU
Molecule: small nuclear RNA, 106 nt
Organism: Cebus imitator (Panamanian white-faced capuchin)
Lineage: Eukaryota; Metazoa; Chordata; Mammalia; Primates; Cebidae
Source: Ensembl